Molecule: ribosomal RNA, 301 nt
Filed under: uncultured bacterium
Lineage: Bacteria
Description: partial 16S ribosomal RNA
Rfam family: Bacterial small subunit ribosomal RNA
Source: RNAcentral
CAGUCGCCACGGUAAUACGAAGGGGGCUAUCGUUGUUCGGAAUUACUGGGCGUAAAGGGCGCGUAGGCGGCCAUUCAAGUUAGAUGUGAAAGCCCUGGGCUCAACCUAGGAAUUGCAUUUGAUACUGUUUGGCUUGAGUUCGGGAGAGGUGAGUGGAAUUCCCAGUGUAGAGGUGAAGUUCGUAGAUAUUGGGAAGAACACCAGUGGCGAAGGCGGCUCACUGGACCGGCACUGACGCUGAGGCGCGAAAGCGUGGGGAGCAAACAGGAUUAGAUACCCCAGUAGUCCCUGUCUCUUAUAC